This 808-nucleotide ribosomal RNA is filed under the name anaerobic digester metagenome. RNAcentral describes it as "bacterial SSU rRNA". It matches the Rfam family "Bacterial small subunit ribosomal RNA", at positions 8 to 813 of the family's 1533-position model. The record is from RNAcentral.
AGAGUUUGAUCCUGGCUCAGGAUGAACGCUGGCGGCGUGCCUAACACAUGCAAGUCGAGCGAGAAGUUUGAAAAAUGAGUUUUCGAACAAGUGAUUCAAACGGAAAGCGGCGGACGGGUGAGUAACGCGUAGGCAACCUGCCCCGUGCAGAGGGACAGCCUCGGGAAACCGGGAUUAAGACCUCAUGAUAUCGGGUUAUCACAUGGUAAUCCGGUCAAAGAUUUAUCGGCAUGGGAUGGGCCUGCGUCUGAUUAGCUGGUUGGUGGGGUAACGGCCUACCAAGGCGACGAUCAGUAGCAGAACUGAGAGGUUCAUCUGCCACAUUGGAACUGAGACACGGUCCAAACUCCUACGGGAGGCAGCAGUGAGGAAUAUUGCACAAUGGGCGAAAGCCUGAUGCAGCAACGCCGCGUGAGCGAAGAAGGCCUUUGGGUCGUAAAGCUCUGUCCUUGGGGAAGAAACAAAUGACGGUACCCUUGGAGGAAGCCCCGGCUAACUACGUGCCAGCAGCCGCGGUAAUACGUAGGGGGCGAGCGUUAUCCGGAAUUAUUGGGCGUAAAGAGUGCGUAGGUGGUCUUGUAAGCGUGGGGUGAAAGGCAGUGGCUUAACCAUUGUUAGCCUUGCGAACUGUGAGACUUGAGUGCAGGAGAGGAAAGCGGAAUUCCUAGUGUAGCGGUGAAAUGCGUAGAUAUUAGGAGGAACACCAGUGGCGAAGGCGGCUUUCUGGACUGUAACUGACACUGAGGCACGAAAGCGUGGGGAGCAAACAGGAUUAGAUACCCUGGUAGUCCACGCCGUAAACGAUGAG